CUCUCCUUAGCUCAGUUGGAAGAGCGUGAGACUGUAAAUCUCAAGGUCCCUGGUUCGAACCCGGGAGGGGAGA
This 73-nucleotide transfer RNA is filed under the name Baudoinia panamericana UAMH 10762. RNAcentral describes it as "tRNA-Tyr (GTA) (tRNA-Tyr-GTA-1-1)". It matches the Rfam family "tRNA". From Rfam's summary of the family: Transfer RNA (tRNA) molecules are approximately 80 nucleotides in length. RNAcentral also lists the same sequence under 1 other name. Lineage: Eukaryota; Fungi; Ascomycota; Dothideomycetes; Mycosphaerellales; Teratosphaeriaceae. The record is from RNAcentral.